UACGUAGGUGGCAAGCGUUGUCCGGAUUUACUGGGCGUAAAGGGCUUGUAGGCGGUUUGUUAAGUCUGGUGUGAAAUCUCCCGGCUCAACCGGGAGGGGUCAUUGGAUACUGGCAGACUAGAGACGGGUAGAGGAAAGCAGAAUUCCCGGUGUAGCGGUGAAAUGCGUAGAUAUCGGGAGGAAUACCAGUGGCGAAGGCGGCUUUCUGGGCCUGUUCUGACGCUGAGGAGCGAAAGCGUGGGGAGCAAACCGG
This 253-nucleotide ribosomal RNA is filed under the name uncultured bacterium. RNAcentral's name for it is "partial 16S ribosomal RNA". It matches the Rfam family "Bacterial small subunit ribosomal RNA", at positions 524 to 776 of the family's 1533-position model. The record is from RNAcentral.